GGAUGGAACUUGCAAACUAAAUGCAAGUCUGUCACUGUCUUAACUCCCUUUCUGAGUAGUCUGCUGGCCCGAGGGAGGCCCCACACUCUCACUGACUGUCAUCUCAGCCCUUCCGGAGCACAGCUUUGUGUGCCAGGCUUGCAUUUCUCUUUGUGGGAGAGACAGACAACUCAGGAGUGCCUCUUGCCUCAGGAACCUCAGCAACUAGCAGAAUGAAGAGAGACUUCUCAGUGGAGUGCGGGGAAGGCAGAGCACGUGACCCUCGGCAGCACAUUCUCAUAUACAUCAUCACGCUCACACCAAGGUGUUAACGGUGAAUUAACUGGCCCCAUGAGAUAUUAUUUGAUCUUCAGAGAAAGGGCCCUGCUUACUUCAAAGGGAUGAACCUCAAGCAGCACUUCAGACCUUCAAGAAGGAAGGCCUUUGGGUCAGCAAGUCCUUCCCUGGGCCUCUUCAAUCCCCUCCACCUGGAAAGAGGCUUGUGCCUACCUGACUGCCAGGAUCUUCCUCCUGAUCUCCCUUGACAUCUGGAGCAGGGGCUGGUGUGACCGUGACCACAGGAAGCGUGGCUGACUCCUCCUCUUUGAAGAAAAGACAUGGAAAAGGUCAGAAGAGUGUGCCAGUUUCUGAGGACAGCUGGCAGAAACCAGUGUGAGGGGGCUACAGGACAACUGGACACGUCCACCUCAGAGUCUCAGCUGGUACACAGGAGGUGCUCACUGAAGUUGAGCUGAAUGAGUAGCUACUCCUAAGUGGCUUCCAGGGCUAUCUUCAGGUGGCAGGAUCGCUGCCCCCAGGAAUUGUCCUCAUCUCCCCACUGCAGGCCUCCAUGGCCAGAAUUAGGACUGGACUUGCACCGUAUGCUCUCGUCUGUGCUUCAGCUCAGAAAAUAAAGAAAACACUGCCUGGAACAGAAAGGAAUCAGGACCAAUUUUAUCUCCAGAUAGAAAGCAGAAUAUGGUACAAGAAAUGAGAAAGUCAAUCACUUCUCGGCCUUUUGGCUAAGAUAAAGUGAAGAAAUGAGAAGCUCAGAUAAAGGUGCGGUGGUGGAAGGAACAAAGAGGCUUCAAAAAAUUUAUUCAAGCCAAAAUACUUCCCUAGGAGCUCGUCAUCCUCUGCACACACCCGAAUUCUUCUCCUCUCAGCAUGUACUUCUAACCUUCUGACGCGUUUCACACCCACUUUCUCAUCCAGUGCCACCAACUCCGUGACAUGGACAAGCAUAUCUCAGUUGGACCAUCCCUGUUUCAAGAGCUCGGUAGCUACAUGUAGCAAGUGGUCACCAUACUGGAGAGUGCAGCAGAAAGUCCCGACCUCUGGACUUCUGUCAGCCACCCCCUGCUUGUCCUUCAAGAUUCUGCCAGACAUCACCUCCCGGAGGAAGCCUCCCCUGACUCUCUGGUCAGUUGAAUGUCUACUCCCUGCAGUACUAAGCCCCUCGGCGCUUUCCCAUACCAUUAUAGUAACUAUCAACUUUAUCGGUCUUCCCCACUGAGGCAGAUUCACCAUGGAGCUGAUGAAACCUGAGUUCCGGGGCCUGUGUCUCCAACACAAACCCUUUCCAAGGCUUUGUAUUUGAUUUUGUACCAAUGGUUUUGUAUUCUUUUUCUUAAAGAGUAUCAGGCCCCACCUGAAUCAACUCCACUCUGCUAGGCUGCGCUCAUCAAGGACGGUGCCUUUAUUCUCAUUGUAACUCCAGACCCUACACAGGCUUCAUACAAAGAGAUUCAAUGAAUGUUUGCAGAACGAAAGAUCACUGGAGUUCUUUAGGGCACAGUCCAGUGCCAGCCCCCCACCCCCACCCCAGGAGCAACAGCCAGCUCUCAGUUUUCAUUACCACACAUUUGUCAGUGGCUCACAAAUUUCUGUUUCUAGCUCAGUCUUUGAUCGUGAGCUUCAGGCCCAUUUGGGCAACUGUCUCCCAAGCAUCCUAAACCCAGAGGCGACCUGGGUGCCCGAACUCGCCAUUUCUGAGUGGAAACUCUUAAGUCUCCCUAAACCUCUUCUUCCCCGAGUCUGCCCUUUCCUGUACCACCAUCUGCCCUGCUGCUCAGCCAAAAACCUGGCUGCGUCCUUGCAUCCUUGGCUUCUUCUGCUGCCUCACUCUCACACCAACUACCUCCACUUCAUCACCAGUCCAGACAAUUCUGUCUGCAAAAUGACCCUCAAAGAUAGACAUGCUGGACCCCCGCUUUUGCCCUCACAUAUCUUCAGUUCAUUCUUGGCACAGCACUUAGGAGUGACUUUUUAAAUAUGGCUCCUAGUCACUCUUCAUUCCCUCCUGAGCUUCAAUUAAAAUCCAAGCCCCAUGUCUGACCCACGGGGCCUUGUGGAAAGCAGCUCCCCCCUCCUCUCCACCAUUAUCUUGCCCCACUCUCCCCUGACUCCCUGGCCACACUGGCCUCCAAUUCUUUAUUCCCAUGCAUCAAGCUCUUUCUGACCCUUUGCAAACGCUGUUUCAUCUUCCAGAAUUCUUCCCCCUGGAGCAUGGGGGGCUGGGUGGGGAGUUCCCUUCUCAUUCUGCAGUUCUCUCCCUCCAAGAGACUUCUG
Molecule: long non-coding RNA, 2550 nt
Organism: Suricata suricatta (meerkat)
Lineage: Eukaryota; Metazoa; Chordata; Mammalia; Carnivora; Herpestidae
Exons: 5
Source: RefSeq, a predicted model, not a curated record